AGACAGCUAGGAUGUUGGCUUGGAAGCAGCCAUUCAUUUAAAGAGUGCGUAACAGCUCACUAGUCGAGCGAUCUGGCGUGGAUAAUAAUCGGGCAUAAACGAUCUGCCGAAGCCGUGGAUGUCGCAAGACAUGGUAGGGGAGCAUUCCAUGCGGCGUCGAAGAUGAGGGAUGACCCUUGUUGGAGCGCAUGGAAAAGCAAAUGUAGGUAUGAGUAACGAUAAGGGGGGCGAGAAACCCCCCCGCCGAAAGACCAAGGUUUCCUGAUCAACGCUAAUCGGAUCAGGGUGAGUCGGGACCUAAGGCAAAGCCGAACGGCGCCGCCGAUGGAAGAAUGGGUUAAUAUUCCCAUACUGCCUCAUGGAGUGACGUGGAGACGGAGAAGUGACAGUCCUGCCGGCUGACGGAAUAGCCGGUUGAAGGGUGUAGGUGUCGAUCGCGGUAGGCAAAUCCGCCGCGAGAGCCGAACCUGACAGUAUACGGAGCGCUUGCGCAACGUAAUAUGGACGUAACCAUGCUCCCAAGAAAAUCCGCUAAACUUAUCCAUGCGGCACCCGUACCGUAAACGGACACACGUGGUCGGGUUGAGAAUACUGAGGCGCUCGAGUGAUUCACGGUUAAGGAACUAGGCAAAUUGACCCUGUAACUUCGGGAUAAAGGGUCCCAACGAGAGUUGGGCGCAGAGAAUAGGUCCAGGCAACUGUUUAACAAAAACACAGGGCUGUGCUAAAUUGAAAGAUUACGUAUACAGCCUGACACCUGCCCGGUGCUGGAAGGUUAAGAGGAGAUGUCAUCGCAAGAGAAGCAUUGAAUUGAAGCCCCAGUAAACGGCGGCCGUAACUAUAACGGUCCUAAGGUAGCGAAAUUCCUUGUCGGGUAAGUUCCGACCUGCACGAAUGGUGUAACGAUCUGGGUACUGUCUCAGCCAUGUUCUCGGUGAAAUUGUAGUUCCGGUGAAGAUGCCGGAUACCCGCAACGGGACGGAAAGACCCCGUGAACCUUUACUGCAGCUUUGCAUUGAUUUUGGGUAAGUGAUGUGUAGGAUAGGUCGGAGGCAUUGAAAUGGCAUCGUCAGGUGUCAUGGAGCCGCUGUUGAAAUACGACCCUUUACUUAUCUGAGGUCUAAUCUCCUUAGUGGAGAGACAUUGCAUGGUGGGUAGUUUGACUGGGGUGGUCGCCUCCAAAAGCGUAACGGAGGCUUCUCAAGGUACCCUCAUGGCGUUUGGUAAUCGCCAGUAGAGUGCAAUGGCAUAAGGGUGCUUGACUGUGAGACCUACAAGUCGAUCAGGUUGGAAACAAGAGCAUAGUGAUCCGGUGGUUUCCGUAUGGAAGGGCCAUCGCUCAAAGGAUAAAAGGUACUCCGGGGAUAACAGGCUGAUCCCUCCCAAGAGCUCAUAUCGACGGAGCGGUUUGGCACCUCGAUGUCGGCUCGUCACAUCCUGGGGCUGGAGAAGGUCCCAAGGGUUCGGCUGUUCGCCGAUUAAAGUGGCACGCGAGCUGGGUUCAGAACGUCGUGAGACAGUUCGGUCCCUAUCUGUUGUGGGCGCAGGAUAUUUGCGGAGAUCUGACACUAGUACGAGAGGACCGUGUUGGACGCACCUCUGGUGCAUCAGUUGUGAUGUCAAUUGCAUUGCUGAGUAACUACGUGCGGAAAGGAUAAGCGCUGAAAGCAUCUAAGCGCGAAGCCAACUUCAAGAUGAGAUAUUCUUUUAAGGGUCGUUUAAGACGAAGACGUUGAUAGGUUGCAGGUGUAUAGUCGGUGACGGCACAGCUGAGCAAUACUAAUCACCCGAUAGCUUCAUUA
RNAcentral lists this ribosomal RNA (1802 nucleotides) under human metagenome. RNAcentral describes it as "bacterial LSU rRNA". It matches the Rfam family "Bacterial large subunit ribosomal RNA", at positions 1087 to 2925 of the family's 2925-position model. The record is from RNAcentral.